GGGUUGUGAGGUUAAGCGAACAAGCGUACACGGUGGAUGCCCUGGCAGUCAGAGGCGAUGAAGGACGUGCUAAUCUGCGAAAAGCGCCGGUAAGGUGAUAUGAACCGUUAUAGCCGGCGAUGUCCGAAUGGGGAAACCCAGUGUGAUUCGUCACACUAUCUCAGCAUGAAUACAUAGUGCUGUGAGGCGAACCGGGGGAACUGAAACAUCUAAGUACCCCGAGGAAAAGAAAUCAACCGAGAUUCCCCCAGUAGCGGCGAGCGAACGGGGAACAGCCCAGAGCCUGAAUCAGCUUGUGUGUCAGUGGAACGGUCUGGAAAGGCCGGCGAUACAGGGUGACAGCCCCGUACACGAAGGCACACAGGCUGUGAGCUCGAUGAGUAGGGCGGGACACGUGAUAUCCUGUCUGAAGAUGGGGGGACCAUCCUCCAAGGCUAAAUACUCCUGACUGACCGAUAGUGAACCAGUACCGUGAGGGAAAGGCGAAAAGAACCCCGGCGAGGGGAGUGAAACAGAACCUGAAACCGUGUACGUACAAGCAGUGGGAGCCUUCGUAAGAGGGUGACUGCGUACCUUUUGUAUAAUGGGUCAGCGACUUAUAUUCUGUAGCAAGGUUAACCGCAUAGGGGAGCCGAAGGGAAACCGAGUCUUAACCGGGCGUUAAGUUGCAGGGUAUAGACCCGAAACCCGGUGAUCUAGCCAUGGGCAGGUUGAAGGUUGGGUAACACUAACUGGAGGACCGAACCGACUAAUGUUGAAAAAUUAGCGGAUGACCUGUGGCUGGGGGUGAAAGGCCAAUCAAACCGGGAGAUAGCUGGUUCUCCCCGAAAGCUAUUUAGGUAGCGCCUCGUGAACUCAUCUUCGGGGGUAGAGCACUGUUUCGGCUAGGGGGCCAUCCCGGCUUACCAACCCGAUGCAAACUACGAAUACCGAAGAAUGUUAUCACGGGAGACACACGGCGGGUGCUAACGUCCGUCGUGAAGAGGGAAACAACCCAGACCGCCAGCUAAGGUCCCAAAGUCAUGGUUAAGUGGGAAACGAUGUGGGAAGGCACAGACAGCCAGGAUGUUGGCUUAGAAGCAGCCAUCAUUUAAAGAAAGCGUAAUAGCUCACUGGUCGAGUCGGCCUGCGCGGAAGAUGUAACGGGGCUAAACCAUGCACCGAAGCUGCGGCAGCGACACUAUGUGUUGUUGGGUAGGGGAGCGUUCUGUAAGCCUGUGAAGGUGUGCUGUGAGGCAUGCUGGAGGUAUCAGAAGUGCGAAUGCUGACAUAAGUAACGAUAAAGCGGGUGAAAAGCCCGCUCGCCGGAAGACCAAGGGUUCCUGUCCAACGUUAAUCGGGGCAGGGUGAGUCGACCCCUAAGGCGAGGCCGAAAGGCGUAGUCGAUGGGAAACAGGUUAAUAUUCCUGUACUUGGUGUUACUGCGAAGGGGGGACGGAGAAGGCUAUGUUGGCCGGGCGACGGUUGUCCCGGUUUAAGCGUGUAGGUGUGUGUUCCAGGUAAAUCCGGUUCACUUUAACACUGAGGCGUGAUGACGAGGCACUACGGUGCUGAAGUAACAAAUGCCCUGCUUCCAGGAAAAGCCUCUAAGCAUCAGGUAACACGAAAUCGUACCCCAAACCGACACAGGUGGUCAGGUAGAGAAUACCAAGGCGCUUGAGAGAACUCGGGUGAAGGAACUAGGCAAAAUGGUGCCGUAACUUCGGGAGAAGGCACGCUGACAUGUAGGUGAAGCCCCUGCGGGUGGAGCUGAAGUCAGUCGAAGAUACCAGCUGGCUGCAACUGUUUAUUAAAAACACAGCACUGUGCAAACACGAAAGUGGACGUAUACGGUGUGACGCCUGCCCGGUGCCGGAAGGUUAAUUGAUGGGGUUAUCGCAAGAGAAGCUCCUGAUCGAAGCCCCGGUAAACGGCGGCCGUAACUAUAACGGUCCUAAGGUAGCGAAAUUCCUUGUCGGGUAAGUUCCGACCUGCACGAAUGGCGUAAUGAUGGCCAGGCUGUCUCCACCCGAGACUCAGUGAAAUUGAACUCGCUGUGAAGAUGCAGUGUACCCGCGGCAAGACGGAAAGACCCCGUGAACCUUUACUACAGCUUGACACUGAACAUUGAGCCUUGAUGUGUAGGAUAGGUGGGAGGCUUUGAAGCGUGGACGCCAGUCUGCGUGGAGCCAACCUUGAAAUACCACCCUUUAAUGUUUGAUGUUCUAACCUGGCGCCAUAAUCUGGCGUGGGGACAGUGUCUGGUGGGUAGUUUGACUGGGGCGGUCUCCUCCCAAAGUGUAACGGAGGAGCACGAAGGUCAGCUAAUCCUGGUCGGACAUCAGGAGGUUAGUGCAAUGGCAUAAGCUGGCUUGACUGCGAGAGUGACGGCUCGAGCAGGUGCGAAAGCAGGUCAUAGUGAUCCGGUGGUUCUGUAUGGAAGGGCCAUCGCUCAACGGAUAAAAGGUACUCCGGGGAUAACAGGCUGAUACCGCCCAAGAGUUCAUAUCGACGGCGGUGUUUGGCACCUCGAUGUCGGCUCAUCACAUCCUGGGGCUGAAGUAGGUCCCAAGGGUAUGGCUGUUCGCCAUUUAAAGUGGUACGCGAGCUGGGUUUAGAACGUCGUGAGACAGUUCGGUCCCUAUCUGCCGUGGGCGCUGGAGAAUUGAGGGGGGCUGCUCCCAGUACGAGAGGACCGGAGUGGACGCAUCACUGGUGUUCGGGUUGUCAUGCCAAUGGCACUGCCCGGUAGCUAAAUGCGGAAGAGAUAAGUGCUGAAAGCAUCUAAGCACGAAACUUGCCCCGAGAUGAGUUCUCCCUGAGACUAUAAGUCUCCUGAAGGAACGUUGAAGACGACGACGUUGAUAGGCCGGGUGUGUAAGCGCAGCGAUGCGUUGAGCUAACCGGUACUAAUGAACCGUGAGGCUUAACCUUACAACGCCAAAGAAGU
RNAcentral lists this ribosomal RNA (2929 nucleotides) under Cronobacter dublinensis subsp. dublinensis LMG 23823. RNAcentral's name for it is "bacterial LSU rRNA". It matches the Rfam family "Bacterial large subunit ribosomal RNA". The record is from RNAcentral. Lineage: Bacteria; Pseudomonadati; Pseudomonadota; Gammaproteobacteria; Enterobacterales; Enterobacteriaceae.